Molecule: unclassified non-coding RNA, 403 nt
Filed under: soil metagenome
Description: partial contains 5.8S ribosomal RNA, internal transcribed spacer 2, and large subunit ribosomal RNA
Rfam family: 5.8S ribosomal RNA (bases 1-121)
Source: RNAcentral
GAUGAAGAACGCAGUGAAAUGCGAUAAGUAAUGUGAAUUGCAGAAUUCAGUGAAUCAUCGAAUCUUUGAACGCACCUUGCGCCCUUUGGCUAUUCCGAAGGGCAUGCCUGUUUGAGUAUCAUGAACACCUCAACUCUUCAUGGUUUUCCAUGAAGGGCUUGGACUUUGGGGGUCUUGCUGGCCUUUAGUCAGCUCCUCUCAAACGAAUCAGCUUUCCAGUGUUUGGCAGCGUCACAGGUGUGAUAACUAUCUACGCUUGUGGUUUUCUGCCAGGUAAUCCUCAGUGAUGGGGAUUCGCUGGGGCUUAUAAAUGUCUCUCCUCAGCGAAGACAGCUUUGUGAACGUUUGAUCUCAAAUCAGGUAGGACUACCCGCUGAACUUAAGCAUAUCAAUAAGCGGAGGA